RNAcentral lists this ribosomal RNA (406 nucleotides) under uncultured bacterium. Its description in RNAcentral is "partial 16S ribosomal RNA". It matches the Rfam family "Bacterial small subunit ribosomal RNA", at positions 30 to 526 of the family's 1533-position model. The record is from RNAcentral.
AUUGAACGCUGGCGGCAGGCCUAACACAUGCAAGUCGAGCGAGCGGCGGACGGGUGAGUAAUAUCUGGGAAACUGCCUGAUGGAGGGGGAUAACUACUGGAAACGGUAGCUAAUACCGCAUACCAUCAGAUGUGCCCCUAUGGGGGUAGCGAAUGGGGGGGGUAAUAGCUCACCUAGGCGACGAGCCCUAGCUGGUCUGAGAGGAUGACCAUCCACACUGGAACUGAGACACGGUCCAGACUCCUACGGUAGGCAGCAGUGGGGAAGAUUGCACAAUGGGCGCAAGCCUGAUGCAGCCAUGCCGCGUGUGUGAAGAAGGCCUUCGGGUUGUAAAGCACUUUCAGCGAGGAGGCGUUACUCGCAGAAGAAGCACCGGCUAACUCCGUGCCAGCAGCCGCGGUAAUAC